ACGGAAGGCAGCAGUAGGGAAUAUUGCACAAUGGGGGGAACCCUGAUGCAGCAACGCCACGUGUGGGAAGAAGCAUUUCGGUGUGUAAACCACUGUCGAUAGGGAAUAAUGCCUUCUUUCGGGGAGGUUGAAUGUACCAUUAGAGGAAGCACCGGCAAACUUCGUGCCAGCAGCCGCGGUAAUACGAGGGGUGCGAGCGUUGUUCGGAAUCACUGGGCGUAAAGGGAGCGUAGGCGGAACUGCAAGCGGUCUGUUCAAUCACGGGGCCCAACCCCGUACCAGCGGACCGGACUGCCGUUCUUGGAUAGCUCAGGGGCUGGCGGAAUUCCUGGUGUAGCGGUGGAAUGCGUAGAGAUCAGGAAGAACACCGAUGGCGAAGGCAGCCAGCUGGGGGCUUAUCGACGCUCAUGCUCGAAAGUGCGGGUAGCAAACAGGAUUAGAUACCCUGGUA
This 451-nucleotide ribosomal RNA is filed under the name uncultured Fibrobacter sp. Its description in RNAcentral is "partial 16S ribosomal RNA". It matches the Rfam family "Bacterial small subunit ribosomal RNA", at positions 341 to 792 of the family's 1533-position model. Lineage: Bacteria; Pseudomonadati; Fibrobacterota; Fibrobacteria; Fibrobacterales; Fibrobacteraceae. The record is from RNAcentral.